Molecule: ribosomal RNA, 855 nt
Filed under: uncultured archaeon
Lineage: Archaea
Description: bacterial SSU rRNA
Rfam family: Archaeal small subunit ribosomal RNA
Source: RNAcentral
UUCGACUAAGCCAUGCGAGUCGAGAGGAUUCGGUCCUCGGCUGACGGCUCAGUAACACGUGGAUAAUCUGCCCUUAGGUGGAGGAUAACCUCGGGAAACUGAGAAUAAUACUCCAUAGAUCUAGAAGGCUGGAAUGCAUUUAGAUCUAAAGCUCCGGCGCCUAAGGAUGAGUCUGCGGACUAUCAGGUUGUAGUCAGGGUAAUGACCUGACUAGCCUACGACGGAUACGGGUUGUGAGAGCAAUAACCCGGAGACGAUAUCUGAGACACGAUAUCGGGCCCUACGGGGCGCAGCAGGCGCGAAAACUUCACACUGUGCGAAAGCGCGAUGAGGGAAUCCCAAGUGCUUGCUCGUAAGAGUAAGCUGUUUCUUUGCUUAAAAAACAGAGAGAGUAAGGGCUGGGUAAGACGGGUGCCAGCCGCCGCGGUAAUACCUGCAGCUCAAGUGGUGAUCAUUAUUAUUGGGCCUAAAACGUCCGUAGCCGGUUUAGUAAAUGCCUGGGUAAAUCGUUUAGCUUAACUAUACGAAUUCCGGGUAGACUGUUUGACUUGAGACCGGGAGAAGCUAGAGGUACUCCUGGGGUAGAGGUGAAAUUCUGUAAUCCUAGGGGGACCACCAGUGGCGAAGGCGUCUAGCUAGAACGGGUCUGACGGUGAGGGACGAAGCCCUGGGGCACAAACCGGAUUAGAUACCCGGGUAGUCCAGGGUGUAAACGCUGCUUGCUUGAUGUUAGCUGAGCUCCGAGCCCAGCUAGUGUCGGAGAGAAGUUGUUAAGCAAGCUGCCUGGGAAGUACGGUCGCAAGGCUGAAACUUAAAGGAAUUGGCGGGGGAGCACAGCAACGGGUGGAGCGUGCG